This is a long non-coding RNA of Patiria miniata (bat star), 1408 nucleotides long. RefSeq lists it as uncharacterized. NCBI's taxonomy places the organism in Eukaryota, Metazoa, Echinodermata, Asteroidea, Valvatida, Asterinidae. The record is from RefSeq and is a predicted model, not a curated record. The transcript has 3 exons.
ACUUCCCCACGUGUAAGAUGACACCCACUGCCGACGCGGCGGCGUGUCGGUUGUUGUGCAUGUGUGAUUCAAAUAGGAGUCCAUGAAAACUUCUUGUAAACUAGGGAUGUACGCCUCGUGUUUUAUGACUAGCAAAGCAUGACCGUGGCAUGACUAACGACUAACGUUAGGCCGCCAGACGGAUGCCCCUACCUACCUGUACCAUACUCCAGAGCAACUGUAUAGGUCACUACGCCAAUCACAGUCCACAGUGAACUUCUGAACCAUGUGAACUGAAGUCAAAAUGCGAAAAUGAGACACCCAAAGCUGAAGGCAUACUUUGUUAAUUAUUAUACAAGGAGGAAGAAAGAGAGGAAGACAGCUAGAGGGAAAGCUGGCCUGACAACAUCAAGGAGCUGACAGCACUGGGCGUACAUGUACAUGUACAUGUACCAUGCAUACUGACUGUCUGUCAGCAGAUGAAGGACAGAUCAUGCUGGAGACUGCUGUCAAUUUCAGCAGAUGUCACGUCCCCCCCACGUCCUUGCAGGAUUCCAGAGAAAUUGUGUUUGAAGCACUGUCAUUCAUGUUGCUGCUGCAUACAAAAGUUCCUGAUCCUGUCCAGUUCCUGUUCUGAUGUAGCAGCCUUCCCAGCCCAUGACUCUGUUCAGGUUUGGUGCAUGUAACUCAGCCCUAUCCCCUGUUUCCUUGCUUCAAGGCAGGUAUGUAAGUCUUGUUUUGAAUUUCUGUGGAAAGGUUUAUUGUAUAAAGAGUAUCGAAAACAUGAUGCAGCGCGAAGGCUUUUUGGACGCUUGUAAAAAUAGAAAGUCCAUCGCAUUCCAGAUAACUUUUUGUUAAAGAUGCACAGGAGUGGAAUAUAUGUACUGUACAUCAGGUCUUAUUUACCUGACUAUUCUAAACCUACCUGCACAGAGAAGUAUACGUCUCAAAUAAGAAAAUGCCAUCGUACAAAUGUAGUUUGGAUAAUUCCUCUGCUUAAGAGGGAGCCUUCUUCACUCAAUUAUUUCUAACAGCCGCUCAUACAUAAAUGAAUGAAAAUACUGUGGGCUAGGGUCCGAGGCAAGACAAUCGGGAGAAGUCUUUACAGUUCUGGGUGCUCUGCUGUUCUUCUGACUUGCCAGCAAAUCGGAAGCUUGCAAAUCAAAAGCAUGAUGGGUUUUCGAGUCACAAUGCCUCGCUCUUUUGUUAGCGGUUUAUGAAAAAAAUCCUCUUUUGUAACCACCUUGGAAACUGACAAGCGGUAUAGGAUUAAAAAGAAAUGCCAUUAUUACGCAUUCAGCCACGAAUCAUCAGCAGAGCAAAACAGUCAGCAUCAGUUAGAGUGGGUUGGCAGUGCACAAUCUGCCCAUCUUCAUUUUUGAAUUCUACACUUACAAACUCUUUUCCAAGGGCGGAUCCAGAACACAAU